Molecule: ribosomal RNA, 139 nt
Filed under: uncultured eukaryote
Lineage: Eukaryota
Description: partial 18S ribosomal RNA
Rfam family: Eukaryotic small subunit ribosomal RNA
Source: RNAcentral
UGGUGGAGUGAUUUGUCUGGUUAAUUCCGUUAACGAACGAGACCUCGACCUGCUAAAUAGUUCUAGUCAUCUUCCGAUGGCUGGAUACUUCUUAGAGGGACUAUCGGUGGUUAGCCGAUGGAAGUUCGAGGCAAUAACA